CGUUCCCAUACCGAACACGGCAGUUAAGCCCUCCAGCGCCGAUGGUACUCGGGGCGCGAGCCCCCGGGAGAGUAGGUCCCCGCCAGAA
Molecule: ribosomal RNA, 88 nt
Filed under: Bacillota bacterium
Lineage: Bacteria; Bacillati; Bacillota
Source: RNAcentral